AUGGAAACUAAUCCUUUGAGGGGCUUGUUUGGGGUAUCUUCACCCCAACCAGAAGAGCAAAGAGUUUCUCCUCAACCUACUGAACUUUAUGGAAAUAUUUACUCUGAGAUUCCUUCGGGUAUGAUAGAGAAACUGCUAGCUAAUCCAUUUGCAGGAGAUGGAACAUUGCAUCCUGAUUUACACCUUAUCUUUGUGGAUGAAGUUUGUGGAUUAUUUAAGCUUGUAGGUAUUCCCGAUGAUGUUGUCAAAAGUAAGCUCUUCCCUUCAUCUUUGAAGGGAGAUGCAUUAACAUGGUAUAGGCUAUGUGAUGAUACGAGAUCUUGGAAUUAUAAGCGAUUGAAGUUGGAAUUUCACCAGAAGUUGUAUCCUAUGCAUCUUGUUCAUCGUGAUCGUAAUUACAUAUAUAAUUUCUGGCCUCAUGAAGGAGAAAGCAUAGCUCAAGCUUGGGGGAGGCUUAAGUCAAUGUUAUAUUCAUGCCCCAAUCAUGAGCUCUCUCGGGAAAUGAUUAUUCAAAACUUUUAUGCUCGGCUUUCUCUUGAUAAUCGCAACCUACUCGAUACUUCCUGUGCUGGCUCUUAUAUGCUGAAGACUAUUGAUUUCAAAUGGGACUUAUUGGAAAGAAUUAAAUGCAACUCUGAAGAUUGGGGUUCCGACGAUGGUAAGGAGUCAGGUAUGACACCUAAGUUCGAUUGUGUUAAAUCUUUUAUGGAUACCGAUGCUUUCCGUGGAUUUAGCGCUAAGUAUGGACUUGACUCUGAGAUAGUAGCUUCUUUCUGUGAAUCUUUUGCUACUCACAUUGAUCUCCCUAAAGAGAAGUGGCUUAAAUAUAAUCCUCCUGUUGAAAUGAAAGUAGUUGCACCUAUUACAGUCGAAGAAAAGACUAUUACCUAUAGUGAUCCUAUUGUUCCUACUACUUAUGUUGAAAAACCUCAUUUUCCUGUUAGGAUAAAGGAUCAUGUUAAAGCUUCGACUAUUAUUCGUAAGAGUAAUACUAGGACUUAUACACCUCCUGAGCAAAUUAAUGUUGAACCUAGUAUUGCUAUGGUUAAAGAUCUCUUGGAUGAUGAUUUAGAUGGGCAUGUUAUUUAUUUCUAUGGUGAGAUUGCUAAUAUUGCUAGGCCAGAUACUAAGACACGUAGACCUGUCGUAGGCAUGCCUGUUAUUUCUGUUAAAAUAGGAGAUCAUUGUUAUCAUGGCUUAUGUGAUAUGGGUGCUAGUGCUAGUGCAAUACCUUAUACCUUAUACCAAGAAAUUAUGCAUGACAUUGCACCCAUUGAAUUAGAAGGCAUUGAUGUUACUAUUAAGCUUGCUAAUAGGGAUACCAUUAAACCCUUUGGGAUUGUUAGGGAUGUUGAAGUUUUGUGUGGGUAG
Molecule: ribosomal RNA, 1371 nt
Filed under: Triticum aestivum (bread wheat)
Lineage: Eukaryota; Viridiplantae; Streptophyta; Magnoliopsida; Poales; Poaceae
Description: partial small subunit ribosomal RNA
Source: RNAcentral